Non-coding RNA from Glycine soja, 111 nucleotides. The record is from Rfam. NCBI's taxonomy places the organism in Eukaryota, Viridiplantae, Streptophyta, Magnoliopsida, Fabales, Fabaceae.
CUUUUAUUGGACAUUGACCGUCAUAUAUUGCGAUUUUAUUGGACUUUAAUUUUGUGCACCUAAUUAACGUUAACCUCCAAUAAAAAUCACAACAAAUGACGGUUAACGUCC